UACGGAGGUGCAAGCGUUAUCCGGAUUCACUGGGUUAAAGGGUGCGUAGGUGGACAGGUAAGUCAGUGGUGAAAUCCCCGAGCUUAACUCGGGAACUGCCGUUGAUACUAUCUGUCUUGAAUAUCGCGGAGGUAAGCGGAAUAUGUCAUGUAGCGGUGAAAUGCUUAGAUAUGACAUAGAACACCGAUGCGAAGGCAGCUUACUACACGAUCAUUGACACUGAGGCACGAAAGCGUGGGGAGCAAACAGG
RNAcentral lists this ribosomal RNA (250 nucleotides) under uncultured bacterium. RNAcentral's name for it is "partial 16S ribosomal RNA". It matches the Rfam family "Bacterial small subunit ribosomal RNA", at positions 524 to 776 of the family's 1533-position model. The record is from RNAcentral.